RNAcentral lists this ribosomal RNA (261 nucleotides) under uncultured bacterium. RNAcentral's name for it is "partial 16S ribosomal RNA". It matches the Rfam family "Bacterial small subunit ribosomal RNA", at positions 92 to 354 of the family's 1533-position model. The record is from RNAcentral.
UUAGUGGCGGACGGGUGAGUAACGCGUGGGUAACCUGCCUUACACAGGGGAUAACACUUAGAAAUAGGUGCUAAAACCGCAUAAGCGCACAGCUUCGCAUGAAGCGGUGUGAAAAACUCCGGUGGUGUAAGAUGGACCCGCGUCUGAUUAGCUUGUUGGCGGGGUAACGGCCCACCAAGGCGACGAUCAGUAGCCGGCCUGAGAGGGCGGACGGCCANAUUGGGACUGAGACACGGCCCAGACUCCUACGGGAGGCAGCAG